UGAGGAAUAUUGGUCAAUGGGCGAAAGCCUGAACCAGCAACGCCGCGUGAGGGAUGAAGGCCUUCGGGUUGUAAACCUCUUUUCUGGGAGAAGAGACAAGGACGGUAUCCCAGGAAUAAGUCUCGGCUAACUACGUGCCAGCAGCCGCGGUAAAACGUAGGAGGCUAGCGUUAUCCGGAUUUACUGGGCGUAAAGCGCACGCAGGCGGUCACGUAAGUCGGACGUGAAAUCUCUCGGCUCAACUGGGAGGGGCCGUUCGAUACUGCGUGACUUGAGGUUGGGAGAGGGAAGCGGAAUUCCCGGUGUAGUGGUGGAAUGCGUAGAUAUCGGGAGGAACACCAGUGGCGAAAGCGGCUUCCUGGCCCACACCUGACGCUCAGGUGCGAAAGCGUGGGUAGCGAACGG
This 405-nucleotide ribosomal RNA is filed under the name uncultured bacterium. RNAcentral's name for it is "bacterial SSU rRNA". It matches the Rfam family "Bacterial small subunit ribosomal RNA", at positions 355 to 775 of the family's 1533-position model. The record is from RNAcentral.